RNAcentral lists this long non-coding RNA (317 nucleotides) under Mytilus galloprovincialis (Mediterranean mussel). The record is from RNAcentral. Lineage: Eukaryota; Metazoa; Mollusca; Bivalvia; Mytilida; Mytilidae.
GCAUCUCUUAGUAAAACAUUGCUUUAGGCUACAAAACAGCAAUAAGCUCUAGACGAAAGUUUAGAUCAUUCACUUCCAUAAUAGCAGAGAAAAGUUCAACGAAAGUUUUCUUCUUAAGGUCAUUUGGAUGGAUAGAUAGACAGAGCAGGUACUAGACCUGAAAUUCAAAUUUUGUCUUCAUUGUUGUAGGCUAAAGUGACUUAUAAUUGCUUACAUUGAACUCAUUUGAACACUGGUGGAAAUUUGUCUCUUUAGGAAUCAUACCACAUCUCCUUAUUAAAACAUAAAUAUUUGUAUUUGCUUAUAAACUUAUUUGC